GACGAACGCUGGCGGCGUGGAUUAGGCAUGCAAGUCGAACGGUAUCAUCCUUUCGGGGGUGAGAGAGUGGCGAACUGGUGAGUAACACGUAGGUUAUCUACCCUCAAGACGGGGACAACCCAGGGAAACUUGGGCUAAUACCGGAUGUGAGCAACUUUUAGUUGUUUGAAAGGUGGCGUAAGCUGUCGCUUGGGGAUGAGCCUGCGUCCUAUUAGUUAGUUGGUGAGGUAACGGCUCACCUAGGCAAUGAUAGGUAGGCGGCCUUAACGGGUGGUCGCCCACACUGGGAUUGAGAUACGGCCCAGACUCCUACGGGAGGCAGCAGUCGAGAAUAGUCUACAAUGGUCGGAAGACUGAUAGUGCGACGCCGCGUGAACGAUGAAUCCCUUCGGGGUGUAAAGUUCUUUUAUAUGUGAGCAGUGCUUCUUAUAUUAACAGUAUGGGGAGAGAGAUAUUAGCAUAUGAAUAAGUAACGGCUAACUCCGUGCCAGCAGCCGCGGUAAUCUCGU
RNAcentral lists this ribosomal RNA (509 nucleotides) under uncultured bacterium. RNAcentral's name for it is "bacterial SSU rRNA". It matches the Rfam family "Bacterial small subunit ribosomal RNA", at positions 28 to 528 of the family's 1533-position model. The record is from RNAcentral.